This is a long non-coding RNA of Sinocyclocheilus rhinocerous, 479 nucleotides long. RefSeq lists it as uncharacterized. The transcript has 3 exons. The record is from RefSeq and is a predicted model, not a curated record. Lineage: Eukaryota; Metazoa; Chordata; Actinopteri; Cypriniformes; Cyprinidae.
GGCAAAUUAAAAAAAAAACAUUGAGAUCAGUUACAAGUACAAAGCCAUUCACCAGCAUCAUGCAGAUUAAUAACAAAACGUCUUACAAUACACGUCUGAAAAGUAGAGAUUCUUAUCAAAAACUCCCCUCAUUUGACUGAUGGUGCUGAAUUUAUAAUCAUAUAAUUCUUCAUAGUUUUAUUUCUUUUAGCUUUUAAUCAGGGAGAAGCUUGAAAUUGAACAUGUUCCUGUUCUACACUACAGAGCCAUACUGAACAGAAGCUGAAAAUGUGUCUCUAGAUUUGAUUCCUGUUGCAUAUUUUUGAAAUCUAAUCACAACCCAACUCCAUUCUUAUGUUUGGACUUCAUGUUUUGUGGAAUAACCCUGUAGUAAUCUGAUUUUCUAAAUGCUUAAACCCCAAACACACACACAUUAGAACAUCAUUACCAUGCAAACUUAAGUAACUACAGUAAAUUACUAGAUUUUUAAUAGAAAACGA